UACGUAGGGUGCAAGCGUUAUCCGGAAUUAUUUGGGCGUAAAGAGCUCGUAGGCGGUUUUGUCGCGUCUGCUGUGAAAACCCGAGGCUCAACCCCGGACUUGCAGUGGGGUACGGGCAGACUAGGAGUGUGGUAGGGGGAGACUGGAAUUCCUGGGUGUAGCGGUGAAAUGCGCAGAUAUCAGGAGGAACACCGAUGCGAAGGCAGGUCUCUGGGGCCACUACUGACUG
This 229-nucleotide ribosomal RNA is filed under the name uncultured bacterium. RNAcentral's name for it is "partial 16S ribosomal RNA". It matches the Rfam family "Bacterial small subunit ribosomal RNA", at positions 524 to 745 of the family's 1533-position model. The record is from RNAcentral.